AACGAAGAGGUAUCGUAAUUGAAGAGGUUUGGAAAGACCCACCACAGAAGGUAAUAGUCCUGUAUGUUAAACGAGAAGACUUCAGAUAUGAUCCAGAGUACCACGGGACACGUGAAACCCUGUGGGAAGCAGGAGGGACCACCCUCCAAGGCUAAAUACUACCUAGUGACCGAUAGCGUAUAGUACCGUGAGGGAAAGGUGAAAAGAACCCCGGGAGGGGAGUGAAAUAGAACCUGAAACCCUGCACUUACAAGCUGUGGAAGCACAUUUCUUGUGUGACCGCGUACUUUUUGUAGAACGGGCCAACGAGUUACGUUAAGUAGCAAGGUUAAGCACUUAAGGUGUGGAGCCGUAGCGAAAGCGAGUUUUAACUGAGCGUUCAGUUACUUGACGUAGACCCGAAACCGGGCGACCUACCCAUGAGCAGGAUGAAGCGAAAGUAAAAUUUCGUGGAGGUCCGAACCCACGAGCGUUGAAAAGCUCGGGGAUGACUUGUGGGUAGCGGUGAAAUUCCAAUCGAGCCCGGAGAUAGCUGGUUCUCCCCGAAAUAGCUUUAGGGCUAGCCUCAAGGUGAGAGAUACGGAGGUAGAGCACUGAAUGUCCUAGGGGGUAUUGCACCUACCGAAGACUAUCAAACUCCGAAUGCCGUCAUCUUAUACUUGGGAGUCAGACUGUGGGUGAUAAGAUUCAUAGUCGAAAGGGCAACAGCCCAGAUCGUCAGCUAAGGUCCCUAAAUGUAAGUUAAGUGGUAAAGGAUGUGGGAUUGCACAGACAACCAGGAUGUUGGCUUAGAAGCAGCCACUCAUUCAAAGAGUGCGUAAUAGCUCACUGGUCGAGUGAUCCUGCGCCGAAGAUUUCCGGGGCUAAAACUUACUACCGAAGCUACGGCAUCAGUAAUGAUGGGUAGGGGAGCUUCCCAUACGGGUUGAAGCAUGACCGUAAGGACAUGUGGACAGUAUGGGAGUGAGAAUGUUGGCAUGAGUAGCGAGAUGUGGGUGAGAAUCCCACAGGCCGUAAACCCAAGGUUUCCAGGGGAAGGUUCGUCCGCCCUGGGUUAGUCGGGACCUAAGCUGAGGCCGAAAGGCGUAGGUGAUGGACAACAGGUUGAUAUUCCUGUACUACCGAUAACCGUUUGAGAGAAGGGAUGACACAGUAGGAUAAGCUAAGCACACUGUUGGUUAUGUGUGCCCAAGCAUUGAGGCAGUCAAAGUAGGCAAAUCCGCUUUGAUAAUGCUGGGAUGUGAUGGGGAGCGAAAUUUAGUAGCGAAGUAGCUGAUUUCACACUGUCAAGAAAAGUCUCUAUCGAGGUUAAAGGUACCCGUACCGCAAACCGACACAGGUGGGUGAGGAGAGUAUCCUAAGGCCAGCGAGAGAACUGUUGUUAAGGAACUCGGCAAAAUGACCCCGUAACUUAGGGAUAAGGGGUGCCACCAUCAGGUGGCCGCAGAGAAUAGGCCCAAGCGACUGUUUACCAAAAACAUAGGUUUCUGCUAAGUCGCAAGACGAUGUAUAGGAGCUGACGCCUGCCCGGUGCUGGAAGGUUAAGGGGAUCUGUUAGAGCAAUCGAAGCAGUGAACUUAAGCCCCAGUAAACGGCGGCCGUAACUAUAACGGUCCUAAGGUAGCGAAAUUCCUUGUCGGGUAAGUUCCGACCCGCACGAAAGGCGUAACGAUUUGGGCACUGUCUCAACAACAGACUCGGUGAAAUUGUAAUUCCGGUGAAGAUGCCGGAUACCUGCGACAGGACGGAAAGACCCCAUGGAGCUU
RNAcentral lists this ribosomal RNA (1766 nucleotides) under Clostridioides difficile. RNAcentral describes it as "partial 23S ribosomal RNA". It matches the Rfam family "Bacterial large subunit ribosomal RNA", at positions 315 to 2101 of the family's 2925-position model. The record is from RNAcentral. Lineage: Bacteria; Bacillati; Bacillota; Clostridia; Peptostreptococcales; Peptostreptococcaceae.